Molecule: small nucleolar RNA, 107 nt
Filed under: Nicotiana sylvestris (wood tobacco)
Lineage: Eukaryota; Viridiplantae; Streptophyta; Magnoliopsida; Solanales; Solanaceae
Also listed under: 1 other name
Description: Plant small nucleolar RNA R71
Rfam family: Plant small nucleolar RNA R71
About the family: R71 is a member of the C/D box family of snoRNAs containing the C (UGAUGA) and D (CUGA) box motifs. Multiple nearly identical copies of this snoRNA have been identified in Arabidopsis, and it is thought to function as a 2'-O-ribose methylation guide for 18S ribosomal RNA.
Source: Rfam by way of RNAcentral
AUGUCAUGGGGUGGGAAUUUUCUUAACAUUGCUUUUAAUCUUUCCCAAGCUUGAUAAACUGACUCAGUGUCAGUCUGUAAAAAAUUAGGUAUGUCUCGUCUUAACUU